CCCUCCUCUCUUCCCUGAUCUCCCCUCUCUGCCUUCCCUGUUCUCUCUUGCGGACAAAGCAAAGCCGACGUCUCCGGUGACUGUCGACCUCGACGGAAACCAGUGGAGUCGCCGGAGCUUGCUGGAGCACAACGGGAACCAGCAGAGUCUAGACUGUCUUGGCCGAGAGAUCUCUGUUUCGGGAGUUCUUGCGCCGAUUGUCAACGGCAAGUGGCAGCGGCGAUCGUUGGUGUCGCAUGAGGAGGAAGCCGCCGGAGCUCAGAUCCGGCUGACGCCUUUCGUCUCCGGGCUGCAGACCUCGCAUUGCGUCUCCUCACGACCUCGCCUCACUGCCAUCACCCGAUCGCCGGCGCAGAUCGGGGCUCGGAGCACCGAGGUGAGGAGCUAGCUUCGAUUCUUCUUCUCUCGACCCUUGCGGACCCGUGCCCUAGAUCGUCAGGAGCUGGGAGUGUGCGUCGCCGACAGAGGUCUUCGAUCAAGAAGGGAAAGCCUAACCCUAGCCUUGACCCUUCCUCUUCAUCGUCGGCUUAGAUCUACUGUUUUGGGUUCUAGCUUCCAUUCUACACGCGUGAGGAAAGAUUUCGGCAAGGUUGAGUGCAGUGGUGUUCUUUGAUCCAGUAACAGUAUCUUGUGUGGAUCAACAAAAGGGAGGGCUGAGCUUGAGGACUCUGAUUUGAGACGGACGUCUCGACUUCGGAUUUGGAUUGUACCUUCUAUUUGAGGCG
Long non-coding RNA from Zingiber officinale, 725 nucleotides. RefSeq lists it as uncharacterized. NCBI's taxonomy places the organism in Eukaryota, Viridiplantae, Streptophyta, Magnoliopsida, Zingiberales, Zingiberaceae. The record is from RefSeq and is a predicted model, not a curated record. The transcript has 3 exons.